Molecule: ribosomal RNA, 229 nt
Filed under: uncultured bacterium
Lineage: Bacteria
Description: partial 16S ribosomal RNA
Rfam family: Bacterial small subunit ribosomal RNA
Source: RNAcentral
UACGUAGGCGGAAAAUUAAGUCAGUAGUGAAAUCCUGCAGCUUAACUGUAGAACUGUUAUUGAUACUGGUUUUCUUGAAUAUAGUUGAGGUAGGCGGAAUGUGUAAUGUAGCGGUGAAAUGCUUAGAUAUUACACAGAACACCGAUCGCGAAGGCAGCUUACUAAGCUAUGAUUGACGCUGAGGUACGAAAGCGUGGGGAGCGAACAGGAUUAGAUACCCUGGUAGUCC